CUUCUUAUUAAAAUUUUUUUAGUCCUAUGCGAGGCCCCCUCCAAUUGGAGGUCCUAGGCAGCUGCCUAGUUUGCCUAUGCCUAAGGUUGGCCCUGAUGCAUCAAUGAUGUACAUAUUUAUGUAAGAAUUCUGUAUAUAAAAUUUUUCUUUUUUUUUUCACCAUUCUAGUUACCAUUCUAAAAUUUCUAUUUAUAUAUUAUGGCUGUGAUGUAACUAAAUUGUUAAUUUGAAAUUAUGUAAAACCCUGUCCUAAUGUAAAAACACCCAUUUUGCAUUCCUGAUAAUGGAAACCCCAACCUACUAUUUAUCCGAUUAAGAAAAUCCAACCUACUGUUUUCCUCAAAGUUUCACACUCUAACCUGUUGUUCACCACACUUGCAAUCUACAAAAUCCUUUUCUUCAAACUUAGGAAUGCUAACCAACUGUUUACAGAAUUACAAAGUCCAACCAAGUGUUCAGGAAACUUACAAACUCCAGCUGACUAUUCAACAAACCUUUUGUAUUCCUGUUUAGGGAACACCAACCUUCUGUUCACCAUUGCAAACUUCAAACCUAAUGUUCAACAAACCUUUUACACUCCAAUUUAUGAAAACUCAACUUGCUGAUUACCAAAUUUAACUAAACUAAAAACCUACCAUUCAACAAACUUACUACCUCCAACCUUCUGUUCAACAAAUUUCGAAACUCCAACCUACUUUUCACCAAAUGUUUUGCAUACCAGUACUUUUUGUGAAACCUACACAUUCCAACCUACAGUUAACCAAACUUUUGCAUUCCUGUUUAUCAC
This is a non-coding RNA of Biomphalaria pfeifferi, 787 nucleotides long. NCBI's taxonomy places the organism in Eukaryota, Metazoa, Mollusca, Gastropoda, Planorbidae. The record is from the annotation of a GenBank genome assembly.